This 278-nucleotide ribosomal RNA is filed under the name uncultured eukaryote. RNAcentral's name for it is "partial 18S ribosomal RNA". It matches the Rfam family "Eukaryotic small subunit ribosomal RNA", at positions 21 to 302 of the family's 1831-position model. The record is from RNAcentral.
UAGUCAUAUGCUUGUUUCAAAGAUUAAGCCAUGCACGUCUAAGUUUAAACUGAUUAACGGUAAAACUGCGAAUGGCUCAUUAAAUCGGUUAUAGUUUAUUUGAUUGUGAACGGUUACACGGAUAACUGUAGUAAUUCUAGAGCUAAUACGUGCCAAAAUAGCUGGCUUCGGUCAGCUGGCAGUUAUUGUUUGAACCUGAUGCACGUGUAACAGCGUGCUUAGGUGAAGCUCUUUAACAGGUGGAUCGCAUGACCUUGCGUCGGCGACGAUUCUUUCAA